UACGGAGGGUGCAAGCGUUGUUCGGAUUCACUGGGUAUAAAGGGUGCGCAGGCGGCCUGGUAAGUCAGAGGUGAAAUAUGACGGCUCAACCGUCAAACUGCCUCUGAAACUGCCUGGCUUGAGUCCGGGAGAGGAAGGUGGAAUUCCAGGUGUAGCGGUGAAAUGCGUAAAUAUCUGGAGGAACACCGGUGGCGAAGGCGGCCUUCUGGCCCGGAACUGACGCUCAUGCACGAAAGCCAGGGGAGCGAACGGG
This 253-nucleotide ribosomal RNA is filed under the name uncultured bacterium. Its description in RNAcentral is "partial 16S ribosomal RNA". It matches the Rfam family "Bacterial small subunit ribosomal RNA", at positions 524 to 776 of the family's 1533-position model. The record is from RNAcentral.